AUGGUGAAGUGGGCUGACAUCUGCUUGCUGAAGGACCGAGGUGGGUUGGGCAUCCCUGCAUCUCGCCGGAUGAACGUUGCGCUUAUGCUGCGUUGGGUUUGGCGGAUCUUGCGGAAAGAUGGGGGGUUGUGGUUACAGCUGGUUGAGUCCAAUUACUUGCAGGGCCAACCCCUCUUAUCUUACUCACAGUCGGCUGGGUCCCAGUUCUAG
RNAcentral lists this ribosomal RNA (210 nucleotides) under Triticum aestivum (bread wheat). RNAcentral's name for it is "partial small subunit ribosomal RNA". Lineage: Eukaryota; Viridiplantae; Streptophyta; Magnoliopsida; Poales; Poaceae. The record is from RNAcentral.